Molecule: non-coding RNA, 45 nt
Organism: Trachymyrmex cornetzi
Lineage: Eukaryota; Metazoa; Arthropoda; Insecta; Hymenoptera; Formicidae
Source: Rfam
CAAACGGCCCUUUUCAGGGCCACAUAAUGUAGAAACUCCUAUCGG